RNAcentral lists this long non-coding RNA (304 nucleotides) under Salvia miltiorrhiza (redroot sage). RNAcentral's name for it is "long non-coding RNA (SMIL_LNC011810)". The record is from RNAcentral. Lineage: Eukaryota; Viridiplantae; Streptophyta; Magnoliopsida; Lamiales; Lamiaceae.
GAGUGCUGAGGGCAAAAGCUUUACAAGGGAAGAACAUCAUCCUCGAAACAGACUGCAAAUCGGCUUUCCUCCGACUCUUAAGUAGUGAGUCUGAUAGAUCUCUCAUUGGAGGAAUCAUUCAAGAUAUCAAGAACAUCCUCCUCACGUUCGAUCAAGUGAAGUUCAGUUGGACUAGACGAAUAGCUAACACCACUGCUGAUUGUUUAGCCAAAUUUGCAUUGCUCCAUUCAAAAAAUAUGUCUUUUGUAAGGGCUCUGCCCAACUCUAUUUGCUUCCCAGGUUUGGGCUAAUAUAUUUGUUCUUU